AUUGAACGCUGGCGGCAUGCCUUACACAUGCAAGUCGAACGGCAGCACGGGUGCUUGCACCUGGUGGCGAGUGGCGAACGGGUGAGUAAUACAUCGGAACAUGUCCUGUAGUGGGGGAUAGCCCGGCGAAAGCCGGAUUAAUACCGCAUACGAUCUACGGAUGAAAGCGGGGGACCUUCGGGCCUCGCGCUAUAGGGUUGGCCGAUGGCUGAUUAGCUAGUUGGUGGGGUAAAGGCCUACCAAGGCGACGAUCAGUAGCUGGUCUGAGAGGACGACCAGCCACACUGGGACUGAGACACGGCCCAGACUCCUACGGGAGGCAGCAGUGAGGAAUUUUGGACAAUGGGCGAAAGCCUGAUCCAGCAAUGCCGCGUGUGUGAAGAAGGCCUUCGGGUUGUAAAGCACUUUUGUCCGGAAAGAAAUCCUUGGCCCUAAUACGGUCGGGGGAUGACGGUACCGGAAGAAUAAGCACCGGCUAACUACGUG
Molecule: ribosomal RNA, 486 nt
Filed under: uncultured bacterium
Lineage: Bacteria
Description: partial 16S ribosomal RNA
Rfam family: Bacterial small subunit ribosomal RNA
Source: RNAcentral